CCUACAUCUGCUACAGGCAGGGAGAUCAGAACACUAAGAGAACAGGCAGCAUAAUUCCAUGUUCCUCCCAAGUAGCAGCCCUGUGGGGAGCUGAGCUUGUUGUCUACUUGCAGAGUUAAAGUAGAUUUGGGGAAGGUGGAAGGGAUCAGUUUCUAAGUGACUUGUCUCUCUCUCACGAUGAGGACAUCUGCUCUCUACUGACUGCCCAGUGCCUCCUGGUCAGACUCGGUUCUGUCUCUCCCAGAUACUUGGUUUGCCAGAAGAGACACACCUAUCUGCAGCAAGGAACGCAACUGACCAGAUUGCAAAGCCGGUCCUGGUGGAUGCUCUGUAGCUGCCCUGGGCCCUGGCGGACUGAUUCAGCAGGAGCAUCUGUGCAUGGGAAUCACGAUCAUCGGGGACCAUGGCUGUGCAGCUGGUGCCGGACUCUGCUCUUAGCCUGCUAAUGGAUGGAGUGGUGACCUUAUGAUGAAGUGCCUCAUGAGUGUGACAGACUUGGGAGCCACAUUGCAAGUGAAUGUUGCAGUGGGAAUAAGAGGUGAGUAAGUAAAAACACAGAGAAGACGUUUCUAGGCGAUAGAGAAGAAAGAUGUUGGAAUUUAGCCUGCAGAGUGGAAGGAGAAACUUAGAGAUGGAAAAAUUGUUUUAAUUAUUGACUCAAGAAAAAAGGCUCAGCGAGGUCAGAAAAUGAAAAAUAUGAAUGGGAGAAUGCUGGCAAUGCAUGGCUCUAAGAAGACAGAAACAUCUCCAAGUAUCAUGUCCAUUGUAUGUGUGCUCAAAAGCAGAAAUACUAACACUAGAGUACAUCCUGUGCCCCUUUAUGUUUAUAAAAAGGAGAAUCUCUUCCAGAAACUCCUUAUGUUUCUUUAACCCAAACAGAACAAUUUGUGUGAUAUGUUACUC
Long non-coding RNA from Nannospalax galili (Upper Galilee mountains blind mole rat), 903 nucleotides. RefSeq lists it as uncharacterized. Lineage: Eukaryota; Metazoa; Chordata; Mammalia; Rodentia; Spalacidae. The transcript has 3 exons. The record is from RefSeq and is a predicted model, not a curated record.